This is a non-coding RNA of Carica papaya (papaya), 485 nucleotides long. NCBI's taxonomy places the organism in Eukaryota, Viridiplantae, Streptophyta, Magnoliopsida, Brassicales, Caricaceae. The record is from RefSeq and is a predicted model, not a curated record.
UUUUUAAUCUUUUUCAGGUCAGGUACCAUAGUAGGAAAAAACUGGCGGAACAACGGCCACGAGUCAGAGGACAAUUUGUUCGGCGGUAUGAUUCCAAAUCUGGAUUUGAUUGUCCAAGCAGCGGCGUAGCAUCUGAAGACAAUUCUUGUGACAGUGUAAGAUAACACAGACAGGGAGUGCAGAUUGCUAACUCGUCUUCCCUUGGUAACAUAUGUGGAUUUGUAUACGUAAGAUAGCACUAGCACAGCAUCUGGUGUAGGGAGGGUACCCUUUGAAAUUUGGGUAGAGGGAGGGAUUUUUAGGGUAGGGACUCUUGAAAAACUCUCAUUACCAUCUUUCCCAGAAACAGAAACUGGACUCUGCAACAUUUACUUCGGACUGUUCUAUGUUAUGUUUGGUGACUUUGAAUCUCUCUGGAGGAUGAUAUGUUUGCAUUGCCUAAUUUCCUUCAAUAAAUAUAAUCUUGGUGGUGUGUUAUCUACUCA